This is a long non-coding RNA of Gavialis gangeticus (Gharial), 1220 nucleotides long. RefSeq lists it as uncharacterized. The record is from RefSeq and is a predicted model, not a curated record. NCBI's taxonomy places the organism in Eukaryota, Metazoa, Chordata, Crocodylia, Gavialidae. The transcript has 2 exons.
GAGCUCCUAGGUUAAGCUUGAUUUAAAUUUGCAUACAUUUUCAUAUAUUUAGCAGAAAUAAAAGAAGGCUUGCAGCUACCAGAAAGUCAUUAAGGCAUUAGUUUCUCUGAGAAGACAGAUCUGGAGAAAAUGCAAGAAAAUGAAAAAAAUUAUAUAUAAACAAGGGUUUACCCGCUUUUAGCCCAGACAUCGAUUGGCUUUUUGGAGGGGCACUUUUGCAGGAAGGUGGGUGCCUGCCUCUCUCGCAGCUGCAGUCGGGCUCCGGGCUGCCGAGCAAAAAAAGAACUUCGGAAAAGUUUUCAGGUGCGAGGAAGGCAGCUCCCUUGAAAACGUCGCUGGAAAGCGUGUCGCGAAGGGUCAGUUUAGAGGUCAGAAGAUGAAAAAUGUCUCUGCAAAAGAGAAUCAUAACCCUUUUGUCCCUCUAAAAGCUGCAUUUCUGACGGCAAGGUUUCGAGCCAGGCUCUAGGUAUUGAAGCUGCAGUUGAUUUGCUAUGCGUGGAGAGAGAUGAAGAUAGAUAGAUAGAUACACUCUUUCUUUCUCUACCUUUACAAGGUUCUUAAAAUAAAUAUUAGCGACGCCUGGGAAGAAGGAAAAAACGCGAACACUGUUUUUUCAAGGCAACUAAAUUAUUUAAAAUUAAUUUGCACUCCGACUUCUAAAACAAUUUUUCAGAUCCCUUUGCCCGUGAAAAUAAAUCUGCCGCUGCAUGAAGGAAGAGUCUUUAGGAGGGAACUAAAACCCCUGAAUAGCAGGUUUUAGUAUUUUUCAAAAUGUGGCUGCAGCAGACCCCAACGCCAUAACGCCCUGCUCCUGGGAGGAGAGCCGGAGCUCGCUAUAUGCUUUAUUUUAAAGUGUUUUUAUCUGCAUAUAGUUAAAUCUUCUUGCUGUUCUAACUAAUCUGCUGGAGAGGGUUUCUUUAGCUCUUUCCUGUCAGUCUAACUUCCCAAGUGUAACAGAUGCCGCUCUCAAGCGGUCCUUUCUGCUGCUUUUCUUUAUUCAGCCUCGCAUAUUUCUCCCCAUGAUCUGGGUUUCCAUAGAGAGAGGAAUAAAAGGGGGACCAUGGUCACAAAUCCCCUGCCCCAUGCAGAAUAAAAGAGCCUUAUUCAAUAGACGACCCCGUCUGGACAUGGGAGAAAAAUAAGUACAUGCAAAGCUACUGUUGCAAGAAUUUGUAACUUAUUUUUCAUAGACUGGAACCCAUUAAAGUAAGAAAAGUUUC